UACUGGUCAAGUUUACUUAUGUCACACAUUGUACCAGUUCCCGUCUAAUCUUAAAUGUUAUGUGUUCUGAAAAGUACACUCUAUGUGAUGAGGUAUUACAAUCCUGGUAUGCUUUGAGCAAAUGAUUUUUCCUGUUUUAAUCUCAAAAGAAUGUCUGUGUAAGUGCAAAUGUCAGAAAAUGUUGCUGGGAAGUAAAGAGAAACAGUAAAGCUAAAAAUUUAGUAAGCCUAAAACAGCAAAAUAUGUUUCCUUCAAGAUCAUUGCAAAGAAAUGUUGAAAAUUAUGUGCAGGAUCACUUUUGUUUGUGCUGUCAUGGUCCACAGAAAUAUGAGUGAAAUUAUUUCUGACUGUUUGGACCUUUAUCUCUUUUGCUUAAUGGAAUAAAACAGUCUGCAUAGACUGGCGUGCUCAGGAACAAGCAGACGGUCAUACUUCUUAAAUUCAUUUUCCUCAGGAAUAUUGAGUGCCUUUCAUGUUGGUUUAAGUUGUCAGUGGCUACCUUCAAGUCUUCACAGAUGGCACCUGUGUUUUCCAUCACCAGUAAGUGGUGGACCGGUGAAAUAUUUCUUUAUAAUGUACUGAUAUUUUCCCCUUCAAGCAGUGGUCUAGGUGCUAGUCAUUGUAUGUCACUCAUUCUGCAAAUCUGUGGGGUAUGUUUUUUGAUCUUAGAAGAGACAUAUUUGGCAGUGAAUGAAAAAGAAGCAAAUGCUGUUUUUCUUUUACAAAAAAUCACGAAAAUUGCAAGGCUCUUGCUGCUUAGUUCUUGGAUCUGUGUACCAUUUUAGGUGAGUAUCAUUUGAUGUGUUCAGCUCAAAGAAACUUUUUACAAAUACAUCAACCUAAGUUUAGCAUAUGUUGUGAUAAAAUUCUGGGGCACUUUUCUGGAAGCAUUAGCUUUUAAGGAAUAGUGUACCUUCUCUCUCCUGAAUUAGAAGAUGAGUAUACUGGUAGGUAACAUUCAGAUAUCAUUUCAGAAGCAAGUGAUAGAAAUACUGCAAAAAGUGGCAUACGUAAACUGUUUACUUUUAGUUAUAAUACUGAUGUCACAAAAAAUUUGAAUCUAG
This 1064-nucleotide long non-coding RNA is filed under the name Anas platyrhynchos platyrhynchos (common mallard). Its description in RNAcentral is "lncRNA (ENSAPLG00000019652.1)". Lineage: Eukaryota; Metazoa; Chordata; Aves; Anseriformes; Anatidae. The record is from RNAcentral.